GAUGAACGCUGGCGGCGUGCCUAAUACAUGCAAGUCGAGCGAACAGACGAGGAGCUUGCUCCUCUGACGUUAGCAGCGGACGGGUGAGUAACACGUGGGUAACCUACCUAUAAGACUGGGAUAACUUCGGGAAACCGGAGCUAAUACCGGAUAAUAUCUUUAACCGCAUGGUUCAAUAGUGAAAGACGGUUUUGCUUUCCCUUAUAGAUGUAUCCGCGCCGCAUUAGCUAGUUGGGAAGUUAACGGCUUACCAAGGCAACGAUGAGUAGCCGACCUGAGAGGGUGAUCGGCCACACGGGAACGGAGACACGGUCCAGACUCCUACGGGAGGCAGCAGUAGGGAAUCUUCCGCAAUGGGCGAAAUCCUGACGGAGCAACGCCGCGUGAGUGAUGAAGUUCUUCGGAUCGUAAAACUCUGUUAUUAGGGAAGAACAAAUGUGUAAGUAACUAUGCACGUCUUGACGGUACCUAAUCAGAAAGCCACGGCUAACUACGUG
This 497-nucleotide ribosomal RNA is filed under the name uncultured bacterium. Its description in RNAcentral is "partial 16S ribosomal RNA". It matches the Rfam family "Bacterial small subunit ribosomal RNA", at positions 28 to 507 of the family's 1533-position model. The record is from RNAcentral.